AAAACGGAGAGUUUGAUCCUGGCUCAGGAUGAACGCUGGCGGUAUGCUUAACACAUGCAAGUCGAACGGGAUGCUUAGGCAUCUAGUGGCGGACGGGUGAGUAACGCGUGAGAAUCUGGCUCCAGGUCGGGGAUAACAGUUGGAAACGACUGCUAAUACCGGAUGUGCCGAGAGGUGAAAGAUUUAUUGCCUGGAGAUGAGCUCGCGUCUGAUUAGCUAGUUGGUGGUGUAAGGGACCACCAAGGCGUCGAUCAGUAGCUGGUCUGAGAGGAUGAUCAGCCACACUGGGACUGAGACACGGCCCAGACUCCUACGGGAGGCAGCAGUGGGGAAUUUUCCGCAAUGGGCGAAAGCCUGACGGAGCAAUACCGCGUGAGGGAGGAAGGCUCUUGGGUCGUAAACCUCUUUUCUCAAGGAAGAAGAAAGUGACGGUACUUGAGGAAUAAGCAUCGGCUAACUCCGUGCCAGCAGCCGCGGUAAUACGGAGGAUGCAAGCGUUAUCCGGAAUGAUUGGGCGUAAAGGGUCUGCAGGUGGAACUGAAAGUCUGCUGUUAAAGAGUUUGGCUUAACCAAAUAAAAGCGGUGGAAACUACAGAACUAGAGUGCGGUAGGGGCAAAAGGAAUUCCUGGUGUAGCGGUGAAAUGCGUAGAUAUCAGGAAGAACACCGGUGGCGAAAGCGUUUUGCUAGACCGUAACUGACACUGAGGGACGAAAGCUAGGGGAGCGAAUGGGAUUAGAUACCCCAGUAGUCCUAGCCGUAAACGAUGGAUACUAGGCGUGGCUUGUAUCGACCCGAGCCGUGCCGGAGCUAACGCGUUAAGUAUCCCGCCUGGGGAGUACGCACGCAAGUGUGAAACUCAAAGGAAUUGACGGGGGCCCGCACAAGCGGUGGAGUAUGUGGUUUAAUUCGAUGCAACGCGAAGAACCUUACCAAGACUUGACAUCCUGCGAAUNCCGGUGAAAGCUGGGAGUGCCUUAGGGAGCGCAGAGACAGGUGGUGCAUGGCUGUCGUCAGCUCGUGUCGUGAGAUGUUGGGUUAAGUCCCGCAACGAGCGCAACCCUCGUUUUUAGUUGCCAGCAUUAAGUUGGGCACUCUAGAGAGACUGCCGGUGACAAACCGGAGGAAGGUGAGGAUGACGUCAAGUCAGCAUGCCCCUUACGUCUUGGGCUACACACGUACUACAAUGCUACGGACAGAGGGCAGCAAGCCAGGGAUGGCAAGCGAAUCCAGAAACCGUAGCUCAGUUCAGAUCGAAGGCUGCAACUCGCCUUCGUGAAGGAGGAAUCGCUAGUAAUUGCAGGUCAGCAUACUGCAGUGAAUUCGUUCCCGGGCCUUGUACACACCGCCCGUCACACCAUGGAAGUUGGUCACGCCCGAAGUCAUUACCCCAACCGAAAGGAGGGGGAUGCCUAAGGUAGGACUGGUGACUGGGGUGAAGUCGUAACAAGGUAGCCGUACCGGAAGGUGUGGCUGGAUCACCUCCUUUU
RNAcentral lists this ribosomal RNA (1489 nucleotides) under Cylindrospermopsis raciborskii CS-506_A. Its description in RNAcentral is "bacterial SSU rRNA". It matches the Rfam family "Bacterial small subunit ribosomal RNA". The record is from RNAcentral. Lineage: Bacteria; Bacillati; Cyanobacteriota; Cyanophyceae; Nostocales; Aphanizomenonaceae.